AGCAGCCGCGGUAAUUCCAGCUCCAAUAGCGUAUAUUAAAGUUGUUGCAGUUAAAAAGCUCGUAGUUGAAUUUCGGGAUCAAUACGUCGGUCGUGCCUUCGGUACGUACUGGCGUCAUUGGUUUCUCCCUUCUGACGAACCAUGAUGUCAUUAAUUUGGUGUUAUGGGAAGUUAGGACUGUUACUUUGAAAAAUUAGAGUGUUUAAAGCAGGCAUUAGCUUGAAUACAUUAGCAUGGAAUAAUGAAAUAGGACGUUCGAACCUAUUUUGUUGGUUUCUAGGAUCAACGUAAUGAUUAAUAGGGAUAGUUGGGGGCAUUAGUAUUCAAUUGUCAGAGGUGAAAUUCUUGGAUUUAUUGAAGACUAACUACUGCGAAAGCAUUUGCCAAGGAUGUUUUCAUUAAUCAAGAACGAAAGUUAGGGGAUCGAAGACGAUCAGAUACCGUCGUAGUCUUAACCAUAAACUAUGCCGACUAGGGAUCGGAUGAUGUUAAUUUUUAAUGACUCAUUCGGCGCCUUACG
This 520-nucleotide ribosomal RNA is filed under the name uncultured Glomus. RNAcentral's name for it is "SSU rRNA". It matches the Rfam family "Eukaryotic small subunit ribosomal RNA", at positions 569 to 1092 of the family's 1831-position model. The record is from RNAcentral. Lineage: Eukaryota; Fungi; Glomeromycota; Glomeromycetes; Glomerales; Glomeraceae.